Neodiprion virginianus is the source of this 1981-nucleotide RNA transcript. It is a transcript of the gene named probable dolichyl pyrophosphate Glc1Man9GlcNAc2 alpha-1,3-glucosyltransferase, with no coding region annotated. NCBI's taxonomy places the organism in Eukaryota, Metazoa, Arthropoda, Insecta, Hymenoptera, Diprionidae. The record is from RefSeq and is a predicted model, not a curated record. The transcript has 8 exons.
CCCGGCACAGCGUUGGAACAGUCUAUGGUUAGAACACGUCGGGUGUUUAGGAUAACCUGAAAAUUUGAAAGCGCACAAAUAUCGAUCAUUGAUAUGAUAUUCGCCGAGGACGACGGUUCGACGUCCGCUCCGUAUCAGAAUGUUGUCGCGGAAAAAGAACGAAGAAUCUGUAAAAACUGUCGAACCUUCGGAAAAAGAGGCAAAGGAAAAUACGGCAGCAGUGGAAGAUCCUUCUAACAGAUCAAGUCGGUCCUUUUGGUUUCUCUGCGCCUUGAUAGCAUGUGUCAAACUUCUUCUAUCUCCCACAUAUCACUCGACGGACUUUGAAGUGCACCGAAAUUGGCUUGCAAUAACUCACAGCUUGCCAAUUAAAGAAUGGUAUGUCAAUGCAAAAUCCGAGUGGACCUUGGACUACCCGCCUUUUUUUGCCUGGUUCGAAUACUUUCUCAGUAAUUUUGCGAAGUCUGUUGAUCCGAAAAUGCUGAAUGUGAACAAUCUUGGGUAUGCGUCUGUGGCAACAAAAAUAUUUCAACGUUCGACUGUAAUUGUUACGGACUUUGUAUAUGCAUAUGGUGUUAAAGAACUAAGCCAAACGCUUCACCAGGAUGAAAAAAGCUUUGCCACGUUGAUAGUUUUAACUUUGUGCAACGUUGGACUACUGAUCGUUGAUCACAUUCAUUUCCAGUACAAUGGAUUUCUGCUCGGUGUGCUUAUGUUGUCUUUGUCCAAAGUUACCAGGAUUUCGAAGGAGAGCCAGGUUCUUCAGGGAGCAUUCUGGUUUACUGUUCUCCUCAAUUUAAAACACAUAUACGUAUAUGUAGCUCCAGCAUUCAUUGUGUGGUUGCUGAGAAUGUACUGUUUCAAAAAUAGACAAUGUCUAGUUAGAAUUUUAAUACUUGGAAGUAUCGUUAUUCUAACUACAACAUUGUCCUUUGGGCCAUUCAUAAGUCAAUUACCACAGGUAAUAACAAGAUUGUUUCCGUUCAAAAGGGGCUUAGUCCACGCUUACUGGGCAGCUAAUGCUUGGGCCCUUUACACAGGAUGUGAUAAAGUACUGUCAAUAAUUUGGAAGCAAUUUGGUUGGUCGACAGCAUCUGGUGCAGCCUCAAUGACUGCUGGAUUGGUUCAGGAGAACGUUUAUGCUGUUCUACCUACUCCCACUCCUGUUGCAACUUUUGUAAUAACGUUCACAAUGAUGCUUCCUAGCUUAUGGGUCUUGUUUAUUCGAAACAGUCACAAAACGCCACAGCAUUUUAUAAGGUGUGUCGUUCUGUGCGGUCUAACAUCGUUCAUGUUUGGCUGGCAUGUACAUGAAAAAGCUAUACUGACUGCGAUUAUUCCGUUAUGUGCCUUGGCAACAAUCGAUGCAGGUGAUGCCAAAAUUUUUAUUAUUCUGAGUGCAGCAGGACAUACGGCUCUUCUACCGCUACUUCACCAAAUUAUCUUUGCUCCAUUACGAAUAUUGCUGCUUCUAACGUAUACAAGCAUCACUAUAAUAAGUCUCUUCAAUCUGCAUAAUAAAUCGUUGCUGAGUAAUUACGAAUGGCUCUAUAUGAGUUGGCUGCCAUUUCUGCCAGUGUACGAAAACGUGCUGCACAAACUGCUGUUCGGUGAUCGUCUACCAUUCCUCCCCCUAGCCCUCACCUCGCUCUACUGUGCCGUCGGUGUUACUUACUCCUGGCUGUAUUUAAACAUAACAUUUUUCCGAGAUGGUAAAUACACGACGGAAACUGCAGUGACACUGGAUGGGAGUAAAAAGAAGAUCAAAGUUUUGUAGAGAUGAGGAGCUGACAGACGUGAUUACAUUCAUGUCUCUAAUAAUCGGAAGAUAAACUAAGAACAACGCCUGUUUUACUAGUAAUCUUGCAGUGGCUUGCACCAACUCCACCAACUGCCCGUAUUUCAUCGAGUGGCGUUCGCCUCCGUCCGUCAACGCCAUUUUGACUGUUGUGUCAAACGUGCAUCAGCCUGAUCAGUCAAU